RNAcentral lists this transfer RNA (67 nucleotides) under Pseudoplatystoma corruscans (spotted shovelnose). RNAcentral describes it as "tRNA-Ser". The record is from RNAcentral. Lineage: Eukaryota; Metazoa; Chordata; Actinopteri; Siluriformes; Pimelodidae.
GAAAGAGGUUGGAAACAACAAGAACUGCUAAUCCUUGCCCCCACGGUUAAACUCCGUGGCUCAUUCA